RNAcentral lists this transfer RNA (73 nucleotides) under Ovis aries (sheep). It matches the Rfam family "tRNA". From Rfam's summary of the family: Transfer RNA (tRNA) molecules are approximately 80 nucleotides in length. Their secondary structure includes four short double-helical elements and three loops (D, anti-codon, and T loops). Lineage: Eukaryota; Metazoa; Chordata; Mammalia; Artiodactyla; Bovidae. The record is from Rfam by way of RNAcentral.
UCCCUAGUGGUCCAGUGGUUAAGACUCUGCACUUCCACUGUGGGGGGCACGGGUUCAAUCCCUGGUAGGGGAA